CAUCUUGUGUAUUUGCAUGGUUUUAAUCUUCAUCCUAGUCUUUAUAUUAGUCAUUUGCAUAUGUUUAGUGUGCAUUUAGGUUGCAUUGCAUCACUUUUGUCCUUUUCAGGUAUUGGAGACUUUCAUUGGUGAUUUUGGAGACAUUUGAAGUGUUUUGGGGACAAAAGAGUGAUGUUUGAAGCACAAAUCGUGUCCCAACUGAAGGGCCGUAGCGACAUCAGCAUAGCGACCUCGUCAAGUCGCUAAGACGCAACCCGAGCCAUCGUAACGACCACCGUAGCGACUUACCAAGUCGCUAUGGUAGGAGAAGCCAUAAUCCAAGAAAUGACUAAGUGUCUGUAGCGACUUCUGCGUAGCGACAUGAUCACGUCGCUAGGAGGCCACCCGAGAGAGCGUAGCGACCACCGUAGCGACUUGCAAGGUCGCUACAGAUCCUGAAGUGUUGAAGAGUUAAUAGCGACCAGAGCGUAGCGACUUGCAUGGUCGCUACGGGCGAAAAAGACUGCUUCUUUAUGGGUUAACCUAGGUUUGUUGGGUUGACCCAACUCGUUUUUUUAGACUCCUAUAAAUUCUCUUUAGACAUAAUUAUGUAUCUUAUCUCAUUUUCUCUCAAGACUUUGUUUCAUCUUGUAAAAGCUUGAACCUUUUAAUCAUUUUAAGGAAGUUCUUCAUCUUAAAUCUUGUUUUUCCUUCUCAUAAACAUGAUUAGCCUUGAAUCUCACAUAGAUUUAAGGUUUCUCAUGGAGAUUAGAGAGUAGACACACAUUGAAUUCAUGGGCUAGGGUGAUUAGGGUGAUUAAGUGAAGAUCUAGGGUGUUUAGUGUUAGAUCUAUUGUUUCCUUGCUUGUCUACUAUCCUUAAUGCUAGAUUAAAGUUGGCCUCUUUGAUCUAGAGCUCUAGACAUUUCCCACCCACAAGGUGUUUGAUGAAAUGUCUGAACUAAGUAGAGUUUGCUCUAAACUUGCCUUACACAAAGACCAUUGUGUUAAGGGAGUUUAGAUAGUUAAUAGACUCAUCCCUAAUGAUUGCUUAGAUCUUUUAGGCUCAAAGACCUUUGGUGUCUAGUUGAUUAAAGCAAAUGAACAUUCUUCUUGACCAUAGAGCUUGUUUAUUUGAGUGUUCUAGACUUAAGGAAGUGUUUGAUUGUUAGCUUGCCACUCUAGCUUGGAUCUUAGUCACCCAAAGUCAAGUUCCUAGUCUCAUGGAUUCUACCUUAGCAUUUGAUUGAAAGUUUAGUUCUUGCACUUAUUUCUUGAUAGGAUUUGAGAUCACCUUUGUUUAUAUUCUAGGAUCUUAGCUUGUUACCAUCAUCCAUCUUCAUAUUUGCUUAGAUUAAGAUAGUUUGUGUAUUCUUGGUGCUAUAGAUCACUAGUUCUCUGUGGUUCGACAACCUUUAUAUACUAUCAUUUGACUUGGGAGCAUUGAAAACUUCCAAUAUCAAAUUGGCGCCGUUGCCGGGGAACUAGUAGAUUUGUCAUUAGGAUUUCAAACUUUCUUGAGACUAAGCUUUAUUUUCUUGCUUUGUUUUGCUUUUGUAUAGUUACUAACCUUUAGUUCUAGUUUUUGUUCAUGCAGUUAUGGCUUCAAGCUACCAUGGGGAGCCACAAGAAGAGGAAGACACAUUUGAAUAUCACAUUCAAGAUGACUUUGAUGCAAGUAUACUCACACCAGCACAACUUGUGAUGUUAUAUGAGCUUCAGAAGGAGUACCCGGGGUCGGCAAAGACAUCCCUAGCACGAAGGAUCCGGUUGGAGCUUAUUAAGGAUCGAGCAGAGCUUGAAGGAAGGGAGGUUACCAAGUAUGAGUUUAAUGUUGCCUAUGACCUUAAAGAGGUAAUGGAUUGGGCUCCACCACUCCAGAUGGAAGGUUGGGUCUAUCUCUAGAUAAGAGAAGUCUUCAUUUCCACUUCAGCCUCUCUCCCUCUCUCCUGGUGAAACAAACAUGAGGCCAAGGGUCCUCUACCACCCAAUUCAGCCUAUAACUCCAAGUAAGUGUCACUCUACCCUUGUAAAUAAUUAGUUAUCAUGUUUAUUUCUUUCUCUUAGAUCUCUUCUUUGAGCUUACUCUCACACAAGGGACUGUGUGAAGUAAGUUUGGGGGAGAGUCUACUAUCUCACAUUGUUUUCUGUUUUGUUUACUUGUCAUGAGUCUCAUGCAUUGCAUUGUACAUACUUAUUUGCAUUGAAAAAAGAAAUUGAAAAAUUACAUGCAUUAGAUUCAAAUCAUGUUUCAUUUGCAUCUUUAGAAUUGAUUCUUGAAGCAUAUAGGUUGCAUUCAUGCAUUGGGAGCUAGCCUUGUAAAGAGCUCAUGCUAAGUACUCAAUUUGAUACCCUUUGUAAUCAUGACAAGUAGCUUGAACACUCUUUUGAAAACUUGUAGACUUCGAGCCUUGAAACUCCUCUUGAAACUCAUUGAUUGUUGAAACUUCUCAUCAUUGAAGCCAACUCCAAGCUUACUUGAACUGAAUGAACUUAAUGCUUCUUGCUUAUGGUCUUUUGUGUACUAAGUCGUGGCUAUACACACUUGAGUUGUCUCACCUAUUUUGCCAAUCUUUUUGACAAACUCAAGUGGUAGUCCAUUCCCUAAAACCCUUCCCUCCUUUCAAGCCAUCAUUGAUUGUUGAGUGAGGUCUUUUUGGAAAGCUUUACAUGUGCAUAAUGUUGAGAGUAUUGGGAUCGACAAUG
RNA transcript from Raphanus sativus (radish), 2684 nucleotides. RefSeq lists it as uncharacterized. Lineage: Eukaryota; Viridiplantae; Streptophyta; Magnoliopsida; Brassicales; Brassicaceae. The transcript is spliced from 2 exons. The record is from RefSeq and is a predicted model, not a curated record.